RNAcentral lists this ribosomal RNA (509 nucleotides) under uncultured Veillonella sp. RNAcentral describes it as "bacterial SSU rRNA". It matches the Rfam family "Bacterial small subunit ribosomal RNA", at positions 8 to 486 of the family's 1533-position model. The record is from RNAcentral. Lineage: Bacteria; Bacillati; Bacillota; Negativicutes; Veillonellales; Veillonellaceae.
AGAGUUUGAUGGUGGCUCAGGACGAACGCUGGCGGCGUGCUUAACACAUGCAAGUCGAACGAAGAGCGAUGGAAGCUUGCUUCUAUCAAUCUUAGUGGCGAACGGGUGAGUAACGCGUAAUCAACCUGCCCUUCAGAGGGGGACAACAGUUGGAAACGACUGCUAAUACCGCAUACGAUCCAAUCCCGGCAUCGAGACUGGAUGAAAGGUGGCCUCUAUUUAUAAGCUAUCACUGAAGGAGGGGAUUGCGUCUGAUUAGCUAGUUGGAGGGGUAACGGCCCACCAAGGCGAUGAUCAGUAGCCGGUCUGAGAGGAUGAACGGCCACAUUGGGACUGAGACACGGCCCAGACUCCUACGGGAGGCAGCAGUGGGGAAUCUUCCGCAAUGGACGAAAGUCUGACGGAGCAACGCCGCGUGAGUGAUGACGGCCUUCGGGUUGUAAAGCUCUGUUAAUCGGGACGAAUGGUUCUUGUGCGAAUAGUGCGAGGAUUUGACGGUACCGGAAUAA